Molecule: long non-coding RNA, 2002 nt
Filed under: Equus caballus (horse)
Lineage: Eukaryota; Metazoa; Chordata; Mammalia; Perissodactyla; Equidae
Description: lncRNA (ENSECAG00000048719.1)
Source: RNAcentral
GCAGAACUGGAUAUGAGAAAUGUGAUUCCUCCCAAUGGAUCUGAGCACUGGUCCCACCUCAAAGCCGAGCGAGAAGGCUUCAAGAGUCAGUGGUAAAGGUCUGGGAUUCCUGCAAGAUGGAGAGCCUGGCCCCUCAAGCCCCAGGGAUGCACGGUGUCCACCUGAGCAGGGGAAACGCCUAGAGAGGAGACCCGUGGCAAAAGAGGAGAGCCUGGAGCAGCCCAUACCUCAGCUAUUUGGUGAGGCUGUGAUGUCGGGAAUUCAGAAGAAGCUUGAUUGGGUAGUUCUGGCUCCAGGUUGCUCAAGAGAGUGCAAUCAAGGUGGCAGCUGGGGUUGCAGUCAAUUGAAGACUUGGCUGGGGCUGACUGAUCUGCGUCCAGCCUGGCUCAUUCACGUAUCUGAUCCCAGCCCUCAAGUCAGAAAGAGAGUGGCCUUUCUGCUGGGGUUGCUUCCUGUGUCCCAGCCAUGUCUGGUGUCCAAGGUCAGUAUACUAUGACAUUCUCCAAGAAAACAAGUGAAUCAGUUAACUGUUGCUACAAUAAUGCUAUGUAACAAACCACCCCAGAUCUUAGUAAUAAUCAUUCAUAUUCAGUCAUGUGUCUGCGGGUCUGCUGGAGGUUGGCCAGUCCAGGCUGGGCUUGGCUGCAUGGCUCUGCCUCAAGCUUUGGAUAUAGCUCAUCUUGGCUUUCACUGAAGCUUGGCUCAUUUCUACUCCACAUUCAUCCUAGGGCCCAGACUAAGGGGGAUGCAGACACCUAGAAGGUCUUCUCUGAGCUCAAGAGAAAAAUCAGAAACAUCCAAGUCUUGUUAAGGCCUGGGCUUGCAAAUGGCACUCCCUCACUUCUGCCUGUAUAUCACUGGCUCAAGGAAGUCACAUGGCUGAGCCCAAAGUCAAGGGGUGGGGACUGCACCCACCCGCAGUGAGGCCACAGCAAGGGUGAGGAUGUAGGGCAGGUUAAAGGAUGCAGAGUCAACAAUUCCAUCUACCAAAGCCUGGGUCUUGCCUCCAAACUCAAACUGAAGCUGUGAUGAUUGAUGGAGACUCUGGAGUUCCCAUCCAUUUGUUGUAUUUCUGGUAAUUACCAAGUAUAAAUGUGCAAAUGACACACUCACACCUGCUCACCACAAAAACUAAAGGACAGUAGCAGAGGAGGGCACUGCCUACUUCAUUUGCCCUGCAGGACCCGUCAACGUGGACCACUGCACUCAGGGGCCUGUAUUGUCAGACUUGGCUAUUACUCUUGUUCAGAGAGAUGUGGUGUUCCCUCUGAUGUUGGAAUGUGAGGGUAAUUGUGGGUUGUGUGGUCAUUCCUGGGGAAAGAAGAAGAAGGCCUUUCUUCCAAGACAAAUGUGCCACUCUACAAUUAGAAGCGUUUCAUAACCAUCUCCUUUCUUUUACAUUGGCUUUGGCCUAUGUGGUUGGCUGGAGAGGCCACUUCUGGGAAGAAAAAAUCCACAUUAUUUUCUGAAGGUGGAGUCAAAAAGAAAAAUCAAAACCCCAGCUUUUUGACUUGGAUUGACAAAAGCAGAAAACUAUCCCAGACUACUCCAACCUGCAUAGCUUGAAGUCAGUUGUGACCAAAGUGCUUCCCCAGGCCCUGGGAGCCACCCCUUGGGUGGGCACAGCAUCACAGCCUACAGACUUGUAGACUGACCCUAUAGUAGGGUGCCCACCCAAAGAGUGAAGGGGGCUGAAUUCCAGCCCAUCCUCCACUUGCCAGGCCAAGCACCCACACUAGAGGCUGGAUUACCCCAAAGGAAGGGGCCCCUUUGAUAAUCAAUCUGCCCACAAGGAGAAUCUCUUGGUAAUUCACAGAAAGAUAACUUAUCAGAGGGGAAUUUCUCUCCUUGGACAUCAGAUGUUUCUCUACUCCAGACUGCCCAGAGGCUGUCCUGAGCAUGGGGCCUGGUACAAUGUAGUAAAUUGGAUUACUCUUUCCAACUCUUCCCUACUCCUAUGAUAACAUUAUGCAUCCAUAUCCUUUGCCAUGUGACUCUGUAG